RNAcentral lists this ribosomal RNA (230 nucleotides) under uncultured bacterium. RNAcentral's name for it is "partial 16S ribosomal RNA". It matches the Rfam family "Bacterial small subunit ribosomal RNA", at positions 108 to 339 of the family's 1533-position model. The record is from RNAcentral.
GAGUAAUGCAUGGGAACGUGCCUUUAGGCGGGGGAUAACCACGGGAAACUGUGGCUAAUACCGCAUGUGGUGGCAACACCAAAGAUGGCCUCUAUUUAUAAGCUAUCGCCUAAAGAUCGGCCCAUGUCCCAUUAGAUUGAUGGUGAGGUAAUGGCUCACCAUGUCGACGAUGGGUAGCUGGUCUGAGAGGAUGAUCAGCCUCACUGGGACUGAGACACGGCCCAGACUCC